This 69-nucleotide non-coding RNA is filed under the name Variovorax sp. Root473. RNAcentral's name for it is "SAH (S-adenosyl-L-homocysteine) riboswitch aptamer". It matches the Rfam family "SAH (S-adenosyl-L-homocysteine) riboswitch aptamer". RNAcentral also lists the same sequence under 1 other name. The record is from Rfam by way of RNAcentral. Lineage: Bacteria; Pseudomonadati; Pseudomonadota; Betaproteobacteria; Burkholderiales; Comamonadaceae.
CGCUCCGAGGAGCGUUGCAGCGCCGUCAAGCGUGAGGCUCGGACCACAUCGCAACCACGCUCACCCGCU